This 21-nucleotide non-coding RNA is filed under the name Caenorhabditis elegans. Lineage: Eukaryota; Metazoa; Nematoda; Chromadorea; Rhabditida; Rhabditidae. The record is from RNAcentral.
UUUAUUGAAAAAUUCGGGAUA